GACGAACGCUGGCGGCGUGCUUAACACAUGCAAGUCGAACGGAACUCUUUGGAUCAAGGCUUCGGCCAAGUGAAUUUGAGUUUAGUGGCGGACGGGUGAGUAACGCGUGAGGAACCUGCCUUUCAGAGGGGGACAACAGUUGGAAACGACUGCUAAUACCGCAUAACGCAUAUUGAUCGCAUGGUCGAUAUGCCAAAGAUUUAUCGCUGAAAGAUGGCCUCGCGUCUGAUUAGCUAGUUGGUGAGGUAACGGCCCACCAAGGCGACGAUCAGUAGCCGGACUGAGAGGUUGACCGGCCACAUUGGGACUGAGAUACGGCCCAGACUCCUACGGGAGGCAGCAGUGGGGAAUAUUGGGCAAUGGGCGCAAGCCUGACCCAGCAACGCCGCGUGAAGGAAGAAGGCUUUCGGGUUGUAAACUUCUUUAUAAGGACGAAACAAAUGACGGUACCUUAUGAAUAAGCCACGGCUAACUACGUG
This 479-nucleotide ribosomal RNA is filed under the name uncultured bacterium. RNAcentral describes it as "bacterial SSU rRNA". It matches the Rfam family "Bacterial small subunit ribosomal RNA", at positions 28 to 507 of the family's 1533-position model. The record is from RNAcentral.